This 114-nucleotide ribosomal RNA is filed under the name Brassica rapa (field mustard). Lineage: Eukaryota; Viridiplantae; Streptophyta; Magnoliopsida; Brassicales; Brassicaceae. The record is from RNAcentral.
GGGUGCGAUCAUACCAGCACUAAUGCACCGGAUCCCAUCAGAACUCCGCAGUUAAGCGUGCUUGGGCGAGAAAAGUGUUUCAAAAAAAAAAAAAAAAAAACAUGUAUGCUUGAA